UAAAAUACUUAAGCCGUGGUAAUCCAAACUGCACUCUCACAACAAAACAGAGAUCAAAAGAUUAAAGAAGCCGACUCUCUGGUCAAGAAGGCACUUUGAUCAUUUAUUGUAAUAAAGAACAUUUUGCAAUGUGGACUCCUGUGCUAAGAAGUCCAGACACAUUGCAAGUCAGUAUUCUUAACUGUGAUGUAGAAGAGAGAAACGUUGCCAAGAGGGAAACUUUCUCUUUACUGUGGGAGGAUCUGUCUAUGGAAAUAAGACGGCAAGAGAGGACAACACUGCUGGAAUGGAACAGCUUCCAUCAUGAGAGAUAUGAAAAGCAACAUCAGGAUAUCUUUCUUGUGCAGAGAUCACCCAACCUGAAGAUACAGAUGGGCAGACUUAGAGAAAAGAUGAAAGUAUACCACCUUCCAUACAAUCAUGUGCUCCCCGUUCCAUUGUUUACACCAAGCAAAUUACCAAGCAAACAUAAUUAUGAACCUCAAGUCAGAAGAGAAGUCUCGACAAAUGGUUCUACUUCUGAAACAAGGGAGAUCAGACAAGCUCCAAAGGUUCUUCAGCCUGCCAAGCCAAGUUUCCAGAUUUCCAACCUUAUAACUCGGCAAAAUAUUAGGUGCCCAUCAAUGCACUAAUUGCUAUCACAAGCUAUAUAUGAUUAUUCUUGUCAAAUUAUGCUAUUACUUGUAGUGGUAGGACUGCCACACUCAAGCUCCAUUUUAGAUGUAAGUAGUCCAAUAAUUAUCAUUAAAAAAUGUCCACGUGAACCUUUUCUAGUUGCAGGCAACUAGCUGUGAUAACAACUGAUGACCUCAGAUGGAGAUGUGCACCUUGGAGAAUCCAAGGGAAAGAUCUGGUAUGCAAGGACAAGGCAGUGGAGUGGAAUCAGGAAUAUUAAUAGUUUUAUGAGAUAGAUAUUAUGUAUAGAGAGGCAAGGGUAGACUGCUUUUCAGUGCUCUUGCUUCUGGCUGCUGGCUGCUUGUUAGCCCCACCUCUACUCCAGGACUGGAAUACAAGUAAUUAAAGUCCCAUUCAAAAGCUGGCCUGGAUCAAGGAAUGGAUUAGCCAAAACCACCACACACCUCUCAGGUGCAGCAGAAGCGUAUCCAGCCAAUGAGCCAGGUCAUUGGGGCCUGAAUGAUCAUAGUGAUGCCAACAGGGAAGUGCACCCAGCUGUAUAUUUAAAUCAGCUAUACAGGUGGAGGGCUGGUUUUGUGCAGGGAUCUCUUCUAUUGGAUCAGGCCAUAAGCAUUGAAAGCAUUCUUUGCCAUCCCAAAAGAAAACCUGGAUCCAAAUAUUUCAGGAAGAGGAAGAAGAAGUCUGUAUUCAGAACAUCAACCUUUUCAUAUCUAGUGAUUAAAAUGGAUUGCAUUAUAAUCCAAGUUUUGCCAGUACUAUGAGCUAAUUCAUGAAUUUGAAUGAAAUGUUUGGCUAGUACUCUGCACCUGUCCACUUUUGAAGUAUUGGCAUCACAAUAUUUUCUUUAAUGAGGCAUCCCUUUCUGAGAAAAGAAAACACAACCUUCAGCAUCAUACAUUAUUAUUUUGACAUUUUCUAUAUUUUUAAAAAGCAGAAUUGAUCCUCAGUUAUCCUAGCUGAAAGAGCAUCAACAUCUGAAGAGUAAGCAACAUGGAACUAUUAAAUAAUCAACACAGCUUGCAAUGUUGGCUUGAAAAUAGAAGCACUCUUUGAAAUGCCAAAAUCAGACCCUGGAAUGGAAAUUAUUUAUAAGCAAAUAAGAUCUAAAGGUUAAACCAGUCCUAGGGAGAUGACCCUAAGACGGAAUGAAGGUGUGGACAAAAAAAGGUGGGGGGGGGACUGUUGUCUGCCAGUAGAAAUUAAAGAAGCGUUCAGAAGGCUCUGGUUUACACUAGGGAUUGCCCGGUAUCUGGACUGCUGAAGAAGCAGGGCAACAAUUUGGUUUGGUGCCCAUUAUUCCUCAGAGUCCUUGGCUAUAUUUAGAAAGAUGAGAGCAUCAUUAUUUGACUAUGCUGACUUCAAAAGCCCCACAUGAUUUGCAAAUAUCAUACCAGAGUUAAAGCUCCAAAUGCACUUAAGAAAAGCAGCAGACAGCCUAACUAAUGAAGUGCUCAGGUCAACAGGAGCUGUAGGCAUGUAGCAGCACCCCACACACAACUCCCUCUGUCCUCCUGUGCACUCACACUGUUGGGUUCUUGCACAGACUAGAGUGCUUCUCGUGCUCUGGAAUUGUUUUGUAAGAUUGGAAACAAAUCAUGGAGGGUCAGCGAUGAGUUUCUGAUCUUCCUAAGCGAGGGCUGCUGCUGCAUGCCUGCGCAGAGCCUACUUCCUUAAGUGCAUGCUUUAAAACAUAUAUGCUAAUAUAAUGUGAUUAACAGUGCAGUCCUACGCACACAUACCAGAGAGUAAAUCCCAGUGUAAACCCCCAGUGGGAUAUGUAUCUGCAUAAACAUGCAUAGGAGUGAGCUGCAUAGUUCUCAGUGUUCAGGAGUAGGGAUGUGCAAAUUGAUUCAAAUUCAAAUCAAUUCGACUCGAAUCUGGGUAAUUCAAGUGAUUCAAAUUCAAUACCCCUUAAAAAGGGGCAAUUUGGUUCAAAUGUUAAUUGAAUUUUUAAAAAUUUGAUUUGAAUUUAAUUCUAGAGCCAUUUUUAAAACCCUUUAAAAACCAUUCAGGCCCCCUGAUAGGCUGAAAAAGGGGCCCAAAAAGGGUUGAAUCUAUUCAAAUUAAAUUUUCAGACCAGGUUUGAAUUUGAUUCAAAUUCAAAAUGAAUUUUCAUAGCUCAAUUUGAAAUGAAUAAAAACAUUCAUUUCAUGGACAUCUCUAUUCAGGAGAAGAAUAAAGAAAACGUAAUUUACAGGCUAAGGAACUCUUUAUUUGGGGGCAGGUAUUAAAAGUGACAUGGUGAAUUGUAUGUGGGAUCAGUGAGGCAGGAGCUAAGUUCUGAAGGAACAAAACUGGAAGGAAACAGCAGGGACUGGGAAAGUGCUAUGAAGCAAAGAAAUCUAAAGAUGAGAAGACAUUUUGACAAGUUGUUUAGUGCAAAAUAUGGGGCAGGGAAGAGCAACAAAGAGUAACAGAAGAGCAACAAAGCACACAUUUGGUGAAUUGGGAAGGAGGACUAGGAAUUGUAGUUUUUACUGAUAGAGCUGGACUAUGAAGCAUCUUUCCAGAUUACCAUAGACCUUGGUGCAACCUGGCAUAUACGGAAAAACACAGGCAACCUUAUCCAUUAGAACCGUCUGAGUGAACUUGGGUAGAAGAACCAAUCAUUUGGAAGUUGGACUGAAUGACAGAACAGAAUAUACUACCAAGUCAGAUUUAUAUGGAUCAGCUCCUAAAUUGGCAUCUAAUUGCUUAUUUAUUUUAUUAUUAUGAUUAUUUAUUUAAUUAUCUAAUUUCUAUACUGCCUGACUCCAAAGGCUCUAGUCAGUUCACAAAAAUCUGUACUUUAAAAACAUUUAGCAUGGGGGGAUUUAAAGCAAGUACUUUCUAAUGGUAAUUUCUAGACAAUCAUUUUAUUUCCUUCUCCCACAGCUUACGCUUCUGUUGCUUAAUGCUCCCAUGUGAUUGAUAUAUAUAAAUUAUUUGGGAACUUC
Molecule: long non-coding RNA, 3572 nt
Organism: Hemicordylus capensis (graceful crag lizard)
Lineage: Eukaryota; Metazoa; Chordata; Lepidosauria; Squamata; Cordylidae
Exons: 2
Source: RefSeq, a predicted model, not a curated record